RNAcentral lists this ribosomal RNA (471 nucleotides) under uncultured Rhodocyclaceae bacterium. RNAcentral describes it as "bacterial SSU rRNA". It matches the Rfam family "Bacterial small subunit ribosomal RNA", at positions 916 to 1381 of the family's 1533-position model. The record is from RNAcentral. Lineage: Bacteria; Pseudomonadati; Pseudomonadota; Betaproteobacteria; Rhodocyclales; Rhodocyclaceae.
GACGGGACCCGCACAAGCGGUGGAUGAUGUGGAUUAAUUCGAUGCAACGCGAAAACCUUACCCACCUUUGACAUGGCAGGAAUCCCGAAGAGAUUUGGGAGUGCUCGACAAGAGAACCGGAACACAGGUGCUGCAUGGCUGUCGUCAGCUCGUGUCGUGAGAUGUUGGGUUAAGUCCCCGCAACGAGCGCAACCCUUGUCAUUAGUUGCCAUCAUUUGGUUGGGCACUCUAAUGAGACUGCCGGUGACAAACCGGAGGAAGGUGGGGAUGACGUCAAGUCCUCAUGGCCCUUAUGGGUAGGGCUUCACACGUCAUACAAUGGUCGGUACAGAGGGUUGCCAACCCGCGAGGGGGAGCUAAUCCCACAAAGCCGAUCGUAGUCCGGAUCGCAGUCUGCAACUCGACUGCGUGAAGUCGGAAUCGCUAGUAAUCGUGGAUCAGCAUGUCACGGUGAAUACGUUCCCGGGCCUU